CGAAGCCGCGAGGUGGAGCGAAUCCCAAAAAGACCGGUCUAAGUUCGGAUUGCAGGCUGCAACCCGCCUGCAUGAAGUCGGAAUCGCUAGUAAUCGCGAGUCAGCAUAUCGCGGUGAAUACGUUCCCGGGUCUUGUACACACCGCCCGUCACACCAUGGGAGUUGGCAACACCCGAAGUCGAUGAGCUAACCUUUUAGGAGGCAGUCGCCUAAGGUGGGGUUGAUAACUGGGUGAAGUCGUAACAAGGUAUC
This 252-nucleotide ribosomal RNA is filed under the name uncultured bacterium. RNAcentral's name for it is "partial 16S ribosomal RNA". It matches the Rfam family "Bacterial small subunit ribosomal RNA", at positions 1250 to 1500 of the family's 1533-position model. The record is from RNAcentral.